This 380-nucleotide long non-coding RNA is filed under the name Zostera marina. RNAcentral's name for it is "long non-coding RNA (ZMAR_LNC002090)". The record is from RNAcentral. Lineage: Eukaryota; Viridiplantae; Streptophyta; Magnoliopsida; Alismatales; Zosteraceae.
ACGAAAGAGAUGAUUGACCCUGGCGACGAGGGGAGAGCGGAGAAACCAUCAUGGAGUCGAAGGGUGGACGAAGCUCGACGUCAACAGCGGACGCCGAAUAGUGCAAUACUGCACCAACGCGCAAGGGCGAAAUCAAAACGCCAAUACAACAAAAGCGGGAAAUGCAACGUUAUACUAACAAAGCAAAGGUUACAACGACCAAGAGUACGACGAAGGCCAGGGAAAAAACAACAACAAAAAACAACAAGUUACAAGUGCGACAAAGAAAAAGCAUAAAGGCAAAGAGCGUCAGGGCAUCCCGGGCGCCACCCGAAGGCGAGCCCAUCAGCCAAAGAGGCACGGGAGUGGACGCGGAUCGUGCCGGGGCGGACUUAGCGGCC